GAUGAACGCUGGCGGCGUGCCUAAUACAUGCAAGUCGAGCGAACGGACGAGAAGCUUGCUUUUCUGAUGUUAGCGGCGGACGGGUGAGUAACACGUGGAUAACCUACCUAUAAGACUGGGAUAACUUCGGGAAACCGGAGCUAAUACCGGAUAAUAUUUUGAACCGCAUGGUUCAAAAGUGAAAGACGGUCUUGCUGUCACUUAUAGAUGGAUCCGCGCUGCAUUAGCUAGUUGGUAAGGUAACGGCUUACCAAGGCAACGAUGCAUAGCCGACCUGAGAGGGUGAUCGGCCCCCCUGGACCUGAGCCCCGGUCCAGACUCCUACGGGAGGCAGCGGUCGGGAAUCUUCCGCAAUGGGCGAAAGCCUGACGGAGCAACGCCGCGUGAGUGAUGAAGGUCUUCGGAUCGUAAAACUCUGUUAUAAGGGAAGAACAUAUGUGUAAGUAACUGUGCACAUCUUGACGGUACCUAAUCAGAAAGCCACGGCUAACUACGU
Molecule: ribosomal RNA, 496 nt
Filed under: uncultured bacterium
Lineage: Bacteria
Description: partial 16S ribosomal RNA
Rfam family: Bacterial small subunit ribosomal RNA
Source: RNAcentral